Oxyura jamaicensis (ruddy duck) is the source of this 281-nucleotide long non-coding RNA. RefSeq lists it as uncharacterized. NCBI's taxonomy places the organism in Eukaryota, Metazoa, Chordata, Aves, Anseriformes, Anatidae. The transcript has 3 exons. The record is from RefSeq and is a predicted model, not a curated record.
GUAGAGCUGAAUCCAUUGAAAAGACUGCUCUUCUCAGCUACUCUGUAGCACCUUUUGGCUGAAAGUUACCUUCCCUCCUUUCAGCCUUCAGGCAAAGGAGACUUCUCUGAAGUAAUACAUAAGAUCCAAGAGAUUAAAAACAGGAUGUUGAAAUGCCUGAUGUGGAACAUCUGAAGUAAAGGAAGUCAUGAUAUUUACUGUUUUCAGUAACAUCAAGAGCUCUGUGAAGAACAUAACUGCCCUAACCACAACACAUAUAGGACCAAAUUUCUUAAACUUGU